GAUGAACGCUGGCGGCGUGCCUAAUACAUGCAAGUCGAGCGAAGCGGGGACGGGUGAGUAACACGUGGAUAACCUCCUAUAAGACUGGGAUAACUCCGGGAAACCGGAGCUAAACCGGAUAUGUAUAGAUGGAUCCGCGCUGCAUUAGCUAGUUGGUAAGGUAACGGCUUACCAAGGCAACGAUACAUAGCCGACCUGAGAGUGUGACGGCCCAAUGUGGACCGGAGCACGGGUCAGACCUCCUACGGGGGGCAGCAGUAGGGAAUCUUCCGCAAGGGGCGAAAUCCUACCGGAGCAACGCGGCGUGGGUGUUGAAGUUCUUCGGAUCGAAAGACUCUGUUAUUAGGGCAGCGGUACCUAAUCAGAAAGCCACGGCUAACUACGUGCCAGCAGCCGCGGUAAUUC
Molecule: ribosomal RNA, 405 nt
Filed under: uncultured bacterium
Lineage: Bacteria
Description: partial 16S ribosomal RNA
Rfam family: Bacterial small subunit ribosomal RNA
Source: RNAcentral